RNAcentral lists this ribosomal RNA (525 nucleotides) under uncultured bacterium. RNAcentral describes it as "bacterial SSU rRNA". It matches the Rfam family "Bacterial small subunit ribosomal RNA", at positions 10 to 518 of the family's 1533-position model. The record is from RNAcentral.
AGUUUGAUUAUGGCUCAGAACGAACGCUGGCGGCGCGUCUUAAGCAUGCAAGUCGAACGGCAAGAGGUAGCAAUACCUCCUAGAGUGGCGGACUGGGUGAGUAACACGUGGGUGACAUACCCUUCAGAUGGGGAUAGCUAUUAGAAAUAGUAGAUAAUACCGAAUACGAGCACGAGGGGUUAGAGAUCUGUGAGGAAAGGAGCUAAGGCUCCGCUGAAGGAAUGGCCUGCGGCCCAUUAGCUAGUUGGUGAGGUAAGACGCCCACCAAGGCGAUGAUGGGUAUCCCGGCCUUAGAGGGUGAACGGACACAUUGGGACUGAGAUACGGCCCAGACUCCUACGGGAGGCAGCAGCUAAGAAUAUUCCGCAAUGGACGAAAGUCUGACGGAGCGACGCCGCGUGGAAUGAAGAAGGCCGGAAGGUUGUAAAAUCCUUUUGAAACUGAAGAAUAAGCGUUGUAGGGAAUGACAGCGUGGUGACAGUUAGGUUUUGAAUAAGCAACGGCUAAUUACGUGCCAGCCGCAGC